CGACCCCGGGGGGGGGGGCCCCCCGUUUAAUUUAACCUUUUC
Molecule: ribosomal RNA, 42 nt
Filed under: Asparagus adscendens
Lineage: Eukaryota; Viridiplantae; Streptophyta; Magnoliopsida; Asparagales; Asparagaceae
Description: partial large subunit ribosomal RNA
Source: RNAcentral